This 253-nucleotide ribosomal RNA is filed under the name uncultured bacterium. RNAcentral describes it as "partial 16S ribosomal RNA". It matches the Rfam family "Bacterial small subunit ribosomal RNA", at positions 524 to 776 of the family's 1533-position model. The record is from RNAcentral.
UACAGAGGAUGCAAGCGUUAUCCGGAAUGAUUGGGCGUAAAGCGUCUGUAGGUGGCUUUUUAAGUCCGCCGUCAAAUCCCAGGGCUCAACUCUGGACAGGCGGUGGAAACUACCAAGCUGGAGUACGGUAGGGGCAGAGGGAAUUUCCGGUGAAGCAGUGAAAUGCGUAGAUAUCCGGAAGAACACCAAAGGCGAAGGCAGUGUCCUGGCUCGUAUCUGACGCUCAGGGGCGAAAGCCAGGGGAGCGAACGGG